RNAcentral lists this unclassified non-coding RNA (251 nucleotides) under Hevea brasiliensis (rubber tree). The record is from RNAcentral. Lineage: Eukaryota; Viridiplantae; Streptophyta; Magnoliopsida; Malpighiales; Euphorbiaceae.
UGAGAUGUUAUGCUCUUUAUCUGGUCUGUUGUUUCCUCAUCUACACGUCAUAUAUUUCAGUUGAUCUUUUUUCUUUUUUUUUUUGGUGCAUUUAUUUUGUUUUUAUGAUGACUUUGCUGAAUGUAUUAGGGACUAAAGUAUAGCUUUAGCUUUUCUCCGACAAGUUCUUUGUGGAUUAAUUGGUUUGAAUUGUCCACAAAAGUUCCUAUAUCUUCCUUCAAUAAACACUGGGGAAAAGAUCAUGUAAUUAG